GACGAACGCUGGCGGCGUGCUUAACACAUGCAAGUCGAACGGUAAGGCCCUUCGGGGUACACGAGUGGCGAACGGGUGAGUAACACGUGGGUGAUCUGCCCUGCACUUCGGGAUAAGCUUGGGAAACUGGGUCUAAUACCGGAUAGGACCAUGGACUUCACGGUUUGUGGUGGAAAGCUUUUGCGGUGUGGGAUGGGCCCGCGGCCUAUCAGCUUGUUGGUGGGGUAAUGGCCUACCAAGGCGACGACGGGUAGCCGGCCUGAGAGGGUGUCCGGCCACACUGGGACUGAGAUACGGCCCAGACUCCUACGGGAGGCAGCAGUGGGGAAUAUUGCACAAUGGGCGCAAGCCUGAUGCAGCGACGCCGCGUGA
This 372-nucleotide ribosomal RNA is filed under the name uncultured bacterium. RNAcentral describes it as "bacterial SSU rRNA". It matches the Rfam family "Bacterial small subunit ribosomal RNA", at positions 28 to 404 of the family's 1533-position model. The record is from RNAcentral.